Molecule: transfer RNA, 74 nt
Filed under: Chrysichthys nigrodigitatus
Lineage: Eukaryota; Metazoa; Chordata; Actinopteri; Siluriformes; Claroteidae
Description: tRNA-Ile
Rfam family: tRNA
About the family: Transfer RNA (tRNA) molecules are approximately 80 nucleotides in length. Their secondary structure includes four short double-helical elements and three loops (D, anti-codon, and T loops). Further hydrogen bonds mediate the characteristic L-shaped molecular structure. tRNAs have two regions of fundamental functional importance: the anti-codon, which is responsible for specific mRNA codon recognition, and the 3' end, to which the tRNAs corresponding amino acid is attached (by aminoacyl-tRNA synthetases). tRNAs cope with the degeneracy of the genetic code in two manners: having more than one tRNA (with a specific anti-codon) for a particular amino acid; and 'wobble' base-pairing, i.e. permitting non-standard base-pairing at the 3rd anti-codon position.
Source: RNAcentral
AGGAGCUGUGCCUGAAUGCCCAAGGACCACUUUGAUAGAGUGACUAAUGAGGGCUAAAAUCCCUCCGGCUCCUU